RNAcentral lists this long non-coding RNA (1595 nucleotides) under Mus musculus (house mouse). RNAcentral describes it as "long non-coding RNA chr16:40653081-40654676". Lineage: Eukaryota; Metazoa; Chordata; Mammalia; Rodentia; Muridae. The record is from RNAcentral.
AGUGCCCACUCUUAAGCAAUUGGUCACUUGUGAUGAUUAGUAUGCUGUGCACUCUGAUGGACCAAAAUACUUAAUUUUGUGCACUAAAAUGUGGAAAACUGAAGAUAGAAGAAGCCAAUGAGAAAAAAAAUUAUCAUAAAAUUAUCAAUUGGAAAAAGUAUGUUUUGACUUCUGUACUAAUUACUACCAACUGUUUUCAUACUAGCAUGAAAAUAAACCCACCACAAUUGGUCUAGAAUACCUAAGGAUUGAAUUACUCUACAGAUAAAACAUACGCAUAUUAUGUUAUGUGCUUUUAAAAUAGUAAGGAAGGGCAACAUGGUCUUCAUAUACACCUGUCAUCUAAACCAAACAUGUGAGCCAAAAAGCAAAGAAAUAUUUUUCCCCAAAGCUGAGGCAACAUUUAAACAACCAUUGCCUUUAAGAAUCAGGUUACACAGACACAAAAGUAAAUAAAUAACUGAAAUGGAAAUCACUACCCAUGGCUCUGAGUUAGGCUUCUUCUUAUGAGCUAGCCAUUUCCCAGCAGGCGAUGCACUUGCUGACAGAAAAACUGUGUGAUGCUGUCAGUAAUAGAAUGGACUCUCAGCAUUCUACACAGAGAACAAAGUGUCAUUGGUUAGCAAUCUCAUAGUGAGAUAAUCACAGGAAUAGAACUGGAGUAGGGCACUGCCAUGUCACUCACUAGCAAUAAUGGUACCCAGUGCUAUGCAAGCACUGUUUAAUGAAACCAGAGAUUUCUGUCUUCACUCUUUAGGUUAGGGAGGCUGAGGGCUUACUCUGCAAUACUGAUCAUAGAGGGCAGUCAUGAUUUAUGCUGGACUAAAAAGAUUUAAUAAAGAACAACACAGGAAAAUACUUUUUUUUUGUCUUUAAUUUUUGUUCUUGGAUAUUUUAUUUGUUUAUAUUUCAAAUGUUUUCCCUUUUCCAGGUCUCUCUUACAGAAAUCCCCUAUCCGAUUCUCUCCCCCUUCCUCUAUCAGGGUGCUCCCCACCCCCACCCACUCCCAUCUUCCUGCCCUGGCAUUUCCUUACACUGGCGAAUUGAACACCCUCAGGCCCGAGGACUUCUCCCACUGUUGUCCAACAAGGCAAUCUUCUGGCACAUAUGUGGCCAGCGCCAUGGGGCACUCCAUGUGUAUCCUAUGGUUGGUGGUCCAGUCCUCUGGAGAUCCAUCUGUCCUGAUGACACUGUUGCUCUUUCCAUGGGGCUGCCGAAAUAUUUUACAGACAAUCAUGAAAACUAGUGUGAUAAAAAAGUACACAUGAUGAAAACAAAUGGUUCUCUCCAUGUGUUUUCAAUGAUUAAAUUAGGAUUUCAAAGUCAUAGAUACUUCCCCACUCCUGCCACAGGCUUAUACAUAGGGCACACUGUGGUUACUUGGGCUUCAGCUGUACAGUAGUACACAUCAUUUGGAGGUUUAGAAUGCUGUGCAGCAACCCAUUUUUUUUUCAACACACUCAACUCCAGUUGAAGGAGUGAUGUGAUGAAGAGGAAGAUAUUUUAACAUCACUUAUCAGUACUAUAUUAAUAGGCCCUGCUACAAUACAGCCACACCUUCUAGAGUUAUGGUCAAUAUAUAGAAAAUAUCUUUU